UACGAAGGGGGCUAGCGUUGCUCGGAAUCACUGGGCGUAAAGGGUGCGUAGGCGGGUCUUUAAGUCAGGGGUGAAAUCCUGGAGCUCAACUCCAGAACUGCCUUUGAUACUGAAGAUCUUGAGUUCGGGAGAGGUGAGUGGAACUGCGAGUGUAGAGGUGAAAUUCGUAGAUAUUCGCAAGAACACCGGUGGCGAAGGCGGCGAGCUGGCCUGUACCUGACGCUGAGGCACGAAAGCGUGGGGAGCAAACAGG
Molecule: ribosomal RNA, 253 nt
Filed under: uncultured bacterium
Lineage: Bacteria
Description: partial 16S ribosomal RNA
Rfam family: Bacterial small subunit ribosomal RNA
Source: RNAcentral